Molecule: non-coding RNA, 135 nt
Organism: Triticum aestivum (bread wheat)
Lineage: Eukaryota; Viridiplantae; Streptophyta; Magnoliopsida; Poales; Poaceae
Source: Rfam
AACGUAUUCCCUCCGUUUCAAAAUUCUUGUCUUAGAUUUGUCCAGAUACAGAUGAACCUAAUACUAAAACAUAACUUGAUACAUCCGUAUUUAAACAAAUUUAAGACAAGAAUUUUGAGACGGAGGGAGUAUCAU